This 378-nucleotide ribosomal RNA is filed under the name uncultured Sphingobacteriales bacterium. RNAcentral describes it as "bacterial SSU rRNA". It matches the Rfam family "Bacterial small subunit ribosomal RNA", at positions 999 to 1382 of the family's 1533-position model. The record is from RNAcentral. Lineage: Bacteria; Pseudomonadati; Bacteroidota; Sphingobacteriia; Sphingobacteriales.
AUUCUGAAGGAUACUCUUCGGACAAUAUACAAGGUGCUGCAUGGUUGUCGUCAGCUCGUGCCGUGAGGUGUCGGGUUAAGUCCCAUAACGAGCGCAACCCCUACCUUUAGUUGCCAUCAGGUUAAGCUGGGGACUCUAAAGGAACUGCCUACGCAAGUAGUGAGGAAGGCGGGGAUGACGUCAAAUCAGCACGGCCCUUACGUCCAGGGCUACACACGUGCUACAAUGGCCGAUACAGAGGGCAGCUACCUGGUGACAGGAUGCAAAUCUCCAAAGUCGGUCUCAGUUCGGAUCGGAGUCUGCAACCCGACUCCGUGAAGUUGGAUUCGCUAGUAAUCGCGCAUCAGCCAUGGCGCGGUGAAUACGUUCCCGGGCCUU